UGUCGCGGCCGGCGAGCAUGAAGCUGACGACGAUGUCGCGGAGGUACUUGUCGUCGUCGAUGGAGCCCAUGAAGCGUGAAAGGAGGUCGCUGCCGGUGGCAGCGCCGCCAAGCUUCCGCCGUUGUCGGAUGACCUCCGCCGCGAGCGCGU
This 150-nucleotide microRNA precursor is filed under the name Oryza sativa (Asian cultivated rice). RNAcentral describes it as "miR2927 stem-loop (osa-MIR2927)". The record is from miRBase by way of RNAcentral. Lineage: Eukaryota; Viridiplantae; Streptophyta; Magnoliopsida; Poales; Poaceae.